UAAGGAAUAUUGGGCAAUGGAGGCAACUCUGACCCAGCCAUCCCGCGUGAAGGAUUAAGGCCCUAUGGGUUGUAAACUUCUUUUGUUUGGGAAGAAAUCAGGACAUUCAUGUGCUGUUGACGGUACCUUACGAAUAAGCACCGGCUAACUCCGUGCCAGCAGCCGCGGUAAUACGGAGGGUGCAAGCGUUAUCCGGAAUCACUGGGUUUAAAGGGUGCGUAGGCGGUUUGAUAAGUCAGAGGUGAAAGCUAGCAGCUUAACUGUUAAAUUGCCUUUGAUACUGUCAGACUUGAAUCAAGUUGAGGUAGGCGGAAUGUGACAUGUAGCGGUGAAAUGCAUAGAUAUGUCAUAGAACACCAAUUGCGUAGGCAGCUUGCUGGGCUUGAAUUGACGCUGAGGCACGAAAGCGUGGGGAUCAAACAGGAUUAGAUACCCUGGUAGUCCACGCCCUAAACGAUGUUAACUCGAUAUUUCUUCUUC
RNAcentral lists this ribosomal RNA (480 nucleotides) under uncultured bacterium. Its description in RNAcentral is "bacterial SSU rRNA". It matches the Rfam family "Bacterial small subunit ribosomal RNA", at positions 355 to 832 of the family's 1533-position model. The record is from RNAcentral.